UAAAUUAUCAGCUUGUUUUCUAGUCUUGACAAAAUGACCCACAAAAGCAUAACAACUUUUUUAGGUUUGGAUUUGUAGGUUUUCCUUGUAAGCAUAAAAAGAUAGUCUUGGUUAUAGCAUAGAACAGGACCACUCCCCUUUCCCCUCCUAUUAUUCCAUGCCCAAAAAGACUUAUAACCCCACAUUACACACUCUGUCCAAAUCCCUUUUCACCAAUCUUACUUUCUAACUUUUCUUAUCAAUUAUCAUCCAACCUCAACUUUCUCUACUCAUGGCUUUGAUUUUCUUUUUUGUUAUCUUGUUCAACUGAAAAAUUAUUAUAGUAAUAAUAAUUGUAGCUAAUGGAGGGAGAUAAUUUUCUCUUAGAAUUGAGGUUCUUUAUCAACUUGUUAUGCAAAGAAACACUCUAUUUUCUCUCAGUUGUUUUUUCUGAUCCUCUAUUUUCAUGCAUUGUUACCUUAUGUGUCUUAAUUCUCAUCUAUUUGCCUCAUUCAUUCUGCAAAAUAGUUUUCUCGCCCGUUCCGAUUCUCUCCGCGAUUCUCUUGAUCAUUGUACUCCGUUUUGGUGCAAUUCAGAGAUCUAACAGUGAAGAAAAGGAAAAUUUGGUUGAAUCAGAAUCUGUUACAACUGAAGAAAACAGGGAAAACAGAGAUGAGAAACAGGGGAAAACAGGGGAAGAGGUGGAAAUCGAUUCUCUCGACCAAAUUCAAAGAUGGGUCUCGAGUAAUUCUGAAAUAAAGUUCGAAUUUCAAAUGGGUUUUGAAUCAAGUUCGUUUCUUGACGAGUCUUUCGUUGAAUGGAACGUGAAAGCGCCAUUGGAGGUUAUAUACGAAGGUGAAGAAACAGAGGAUAUUUCAAACGAGAAUCUUGUUACUGGAAUUUUGAGGUACCCUUCUUUAUCACGUUACUGUCCUGAAUCUGACUCUGAUAGUUCGUCGGAGAAUGAGUUUCCGGCGAUGGAGAAAUGGGACUCGCCGGAGAAUAUGUGUUAUAUGUGGGAUGAAGAAGACAGAGAUGGUUUAAUUGAGAUAGCUCUUGAUGGUUGUAAGAAUAAUGAUAAUGCAUUUGGAUAUCAGUUUGAGGAAGAGAAUAUGAUCGAGAUCGAUAUUUCUCCGACAAAGCGUAGAGAAUUUUCCGUAGAAUUGCUCAACCGCAUCUAUACAAUAUCAGACAAUACUUAUUGGGCAGCCUCCUCCAAUUUUAGGCCCCAAAAUUAGAGCAACAGUGGCACCUAAAACUUGAGCUGGUGAAGAGAAGCACUCAACGCAACAUGACCCUCGUUUUCAGUUUAGUUUGGGCUCCACCUCAUUAGAUGGAGACCGUAUAAUGAUCUAUCAAACAUGUAAUUGUCACAAAGGACAUAACCAAUCACUUCACAUGCCUUACAUUUCAACAAACUUGAUUUCAAAGUUCAAAGUUUGUUGUUCUUCACAUGCAAGAAGUUAGUGACCAACCAACAUUUUAAGAACAUAAUCCUACUUCGGUGAAAAACAAAAUAGUGUUUGGAAAGAAGUUUAAUUGGGAGCUGUAAGUAGUCAGCUUGAGCAGUUUUAUGGGGCAACCAUUUCUACGCCUAUGAUGUGGCACGAUGGUGACUAUCAUGGUGUGUUUUGAUUUGCAAUAAUGCAAGGGAAUAUAUAGGACAAGAAUAAUGUUGGAUGUUUAUUGUGAAAACGUACGGGUCAUGAGAUGAGACUGAACAAAAACCAAAAAUAUUAUCUUUUACUAAUAUAUAAACUAAUUUCUCUAAAUCAA
RNA transcript from Cicer arietinum (chickpea), 1755 nucleotides. RefSeq lists it as uncharacterized. The record is from RefSeq and is a predicted model, not a curated record. Lineage: Eukaryota; Viridiplantae; Streptophyta; Magnoliopsida; Fabales; Fabaceae.